UACAGAGGUCUCAAGCGUUGUUCGGAUUCAUUGGGCGUAAAGGGUGUGUAGGUGGCGCGCUAAGUCGGGUGUGAAAUUUCGGAGCUUAACUCCGAAACUGCAUUCGAUACUGGCGUGCUUGAGGACUGGAGAGGAGACUGGAAUUCCUGGUGUAGCGGUGAAAUGCGCAGAUAUCAGGAGGAACACCGGUGGCGAAGGCGGGUCUCUGGGCCGAAACUGACGCUGAGGAGCGAAAGCGUGGGGAGCAAACAGG
RNAcentral lists this ribosomal RNA (253 nucleotides) under uncultured bacterium. Its description in RNAcentral is "partial 16S ribosomal RNA". It matches the Rfam family "Bacterial small subunit ribosomal RNA", at positions 524 to 776 of the family's 1533-position model. The record is from RNAcentral.